RNAcentral lists this long non-coding RNA (471 nucleotides) under Salvia miltiorrhiza (redroot sage). Its description in RNAcentral is "long non-coding RNA (SMIL_LNC009798)". Lineage: Eukaryota; Viridiplantae; Streptophyta; Magnoliopsida; Lamiales; Lamiaceae. The record is from RNAcentral.
UUUAGUCCAAAUGUGCGAGACACCCAUUGACGGCGGUGGUGACAGGCUCGGGCAGCCAUUGGCGGCGGCUGUGCCAUGGCUAUGGUCGGGGGAAAGGAGAGCUUGUGUGGAGACGGGAGGGGGAGAUGCGGAGGGUGCCGGCGCGGCGCGGUGGCGGACGACAUGGCCGUGGUCUUGAGCCACUGCGGCCGUAGGGUUCUGUAGAUAGGGGGAAGGGCGAGGGAGAAUCGGGGGUUGAGACGGCGGUGGCGGUCUUAGACGUUGCUCGCCGGGAACUGCAGGAAGGGAGGAGAGGGCGGAUUGCGUGAAAGAGAGGGAGGAGCGGCGAUUUCGCCGUCCCCAAGGAAGGCGGCGGACUGUGUUGUGAGAGAAUGGGGAAGAGGAAUUGAUUUUAGGUUUAGGGAAUUGGUUUUAGGUUUUAGGCUUCAGCCGUUACAUCUCUCAAAUUGUGAGUAAAAAGCCUUUUCAGAG